RNAcentral lists this ribosomal RNA (626 nucleotides) under Salmonella enterica subsp. enterica serovar Anatum. Its description in RNAcentral is "partial 23S ribosomal RNA". It matches the Rfam family "Bacterial large subunit ribosomal RNA", at positions 2200 to 2824 of the family's 2925-position model. Lineage: Bacteria; Pseudomonadati; Pseudomonadota; Gammaproteobacteria; Enterobacterales; Enterobacteriaceae. The record is from RNAcentral.
CCACCCUUUAAUGUUUGAUGUUCUAACGUGGACCCGUGAUCCGGGUUGCGGACAGUGUCUGGUGGGUAGUUUGACUGGGGCGGUCUCCUCCUAAAGAGUAACGGAGGAGCACGAAGGUUGGCUAAUCCUGGUCGGACAUCAGGAGGUUAGUGCAAUGGCAUAAGCCAGCUUGACUGCGAGCGUGACGGCGCGAGCAGGUGCGAAAGCAGGUCAUAGUGAUCCGGUGGUUCUGAAUGGAAGGGCCAUCGCUCAACGGAUAAAAGGUACUCCGGGGAUAACAGGCUGAUACCGCCCAAGAGUUCAUAUCGACGGCGGUGUUUGGCACCUCGAUGUCGGCUCAUCACAUCCUGGGGCUGAAGUAGGUCCCAAGGGUAUGGCUGUUCGCCAUUUAAAGUGGUACGCGAGCUGGGUUUAGAACGUCGUGAGACAGUUCGGUCCCUAUCUGCCGUGGGCGCUGGAGAACUGAGGGGGGCUGCUCCUAGUACGAGAGGACCGGAGUGGACGCAUCACUGGUGUUCGGGUUGUCAUGCCAAUGGCACUGCCCGGUAGCUAAAUGCGGAAGAGAUAAGUGCUGAAAGCAUCUAAGCACGAAACUUGCCCCGAGAUGAGUUCUCCCUGAGACUUAG